ACUCUAACGUGGAGGCACUUUCU
Molecule: microRNA, 23 nt
Filed under: Cavia porcellus (domestic guinea pig)
Lineage: Eukaryota; Metazoa; Chordata; Mammalia; Rodentia; Caviidae
Description: cpo-miR-302b-5p
Gene: cpo-miR-302b-5p
Source: miRBase by way of RNAcentral